This 767-nucleotide ribosomal RNA is filed under the name Escherichia coli. RNAcentral describes it as "partial 23S ribosomal RNA". It matches the Rfam family "Bacterial large subunit ribosomal RNA", at positions 584 to 1350 of the family's 2925-position model. Lineage: Bacteria; Pseudomonadati; Pseudomonadota; Gammaproteobacteria; Enterobacterales; Enterobacteriaceae. The record is from RNAcentral.
CUUAGGCGUGUGACUGCGUACCUUUUGUAUAAUGGGUCAGCGACUUAUAUUCUGUAGCAAGGUUAACCGAAUAGGGGAGCCGAAGGGAAACCGAGUCUUAACUGGGCGUUAAGUUGCAGGGUAUAGACCCGAAACCCGGUGAUCUAGCCAUGGGCAGGUUGAAGGUUGGGUAACACUAACUGGAGGACCGAACCGACUAAUGUUGAAAAAUUAGCGGAUGACUUGUGGCUGGGGGUGAAAGGCCAAUCAAACCGGGAGAUAGCUGGUUCUCCCCGAAAGCUAUUUAGGUAGCGCCUCGUGAAUUCAUCUCCGGGGGUAGAGCACUGUUUCGGCAAGGGGGUCAUCCCGACUUACCAACCCGAUGCAAACUGCGAAUACCGGAGAAUGUUAUCACGGGAGACACACGGCGGGUGCUAACGUCCGUCGUGAAGAGGGAAACAACCCAGACCGCCAGCUAAGGUCCCAAAGUCAUGGUUAAGUGGGAAACGAUGUGGGAAGGCCCAGACAGCCAGGAUGUUGGCUUAGAAGCAGCCAUCAUUUAAAGAAAGCGUAAUAGCUCACUGGUCGAGUCGGCCUGCGCGGAAGAUGUAACGGGGCUAAACCAUGCACCGAAGCUGCGGCAGCGACGCUGAUGCGUUGUUGGGUAGGGGAGCGUUCUGUAAGCCUGUGAAGGUGUGCUGUGAGGCAUGCUGGAGGUAUCAGAAGUGCGAAUGCUGACAUAAGUAACGAUAAAGCGGGUGAAAAGCCCGCUCGCCGGAAGACCAAGG